AGAAAACUGAGAAAAGUAGGAACAUUUAAAAGAUAACAUUGUGAGAAAAGCCAUGGAUAUACAAUGUCUGAAAAUACAUCCACUGAAAAUACAUCCACUGAUAAACAAGGCUACAUAUAAUCAGUUUACUUCAAGUGCUGGAGUCAGACAAGGGAAGGAGGACAGUCCUUUCACCAAUGAAAUGUGAUCACUGACCAGCCUGUCCUCUUCUGCUUCAAGGCUGUGAGUAGAGAACAGUGCUUCCCUCACAUUUUUAACCAGAUUUGAAUGUAAGAACAGAUAAACUUGGUGAAAAUUUAGAGGGAAAUGUGACUUGAUUUCAGUCAUUUGUAAGCUGGAAGAACAGCUCCUCUCUCCUCCAUCCCUGUGGGGAUGAUUUUCUCUGAGUUCUGGCAAGUGGCAGCAACAAACAAGCACGGAGAGGAAAGGAGGGGAGAGGAGCUCUAUUAGGCAAGAGGUGCCUAGAAGCCAGGCUAGGGAAUGGACUUGCUGAGUGGCAAAACAGUAUGAACAACUGCUGGGACCACUGAGAAGUGAGAGCAGCAAGGAAGGCUCAUUCAUAAGAAGUGUAUUUCAUCACCCUGUAAUGCAUCAGAGGAACCUAAGCUCUCCUGAGGCCAUCAACCUACCUGUCCCUGGCCUUUGGACAACAGCUGCUCCCAGAACAACAACUGGCUAUCAGAGUGCAGGAGGUGUUUGGUAGCCAUCCCCCUGUAUUUAUGGCUACUGCAAUUUCUGUCCUUGCAGAAAUCUCAGACUGAUCCAGCAGUGUGAUUUUACACACAUGUGGUUGCCACUUCCCAUCUCUGAACCAGCCAGCAAAUUAUUAUACGUAUAAAAACCUCAGUGGCAGCAUCAGCCCCAAGAGACUAUUUACUUCCACAGGCAUGAACUAAUUCCUGAAAAGAAGCUCAAGCCAAAUCCUGCAGAGACCAGUGGGAAUCUCUCCAGGCUCUUGCAAAGGCUGCUUUGCACACUAGAGAAAUGGUUGGUGCUUGGUCAUAUUUAUCACCAUGUCAGCCUGCAAGAAAAGGAUGAGGAACAGCACUGAAUUAUGGCAAUGAAAGAUUCAAGCUGAAAGUCUCCAAAGUUGCCCAAGUCACACCCAUAGUGAGAAGAAUGCUUAACUGUUUCCUCAGGAUGAUUCUCUCAGCAGCGAUGAAGCCAGAUAGUGGUAAAUGAAAUUAAAUAUUCUCUUAAAAAAUCUAGACUAUAAAUGAGAACCCUGACCACAGGGCCCACUUAUUUGUAACCUUGCAGUAGCACUGUAAUAAAUUCCCUGUCCUGCAGCCAUGGGCAGCUUGGUAUGGUGGCAGCUUUUCCUAGCUUCUUCAGAAUUGCAAGUGACUGGAACUCUGGCAGGUGAUUUCAGAGUGGCAGCUCCAGAGCUGAGGGGUAAUGUGGCUCUGUAGCCCUUAGUCAUCCACAGAGGAUGGCCACUGGGAAGAAGGAAGCUCUGUUGGAGGUCCAGUGGUGAAACUUUCCUUCCAUCUUCCCUGCAGAUGUCUAGCAUCUGAGUUUUUCUCUAUUCUGUUAAAGUCACCUCCU
Molecule: non-coding RNA, 1548 nt
Organism: Coturnix japonica (Japanese quail)
Lineage: Eukaryota; Metazoa; Chordata; Aves; Galliformes; Phasianidae
Source: RefSeq, a predicted model, not a curated record